UGAGACAACUCUCCACAAGAGACCAAAAUUGACACAGAAAUUAACAACUAUAGGUCACCGUACGGGCUUCAACAACGAGCAAAGCGCAUACCGCAUACUCAGCUUUAAAAUGCCCUGACAUCACGAUGUAGAACAAUUCAAACGAGAAAACUAGCGGCCUUAUUUAUGUACAAAGUGGGUCUCAUUGGGGUCUAAGCGUGACGCGGGAUUGCCGAUUUUUUGUAAGCGUGACACGUGAAAGUCAAAUUAUUGUGCCGUGAAAACAGGAAAUGAAGUCUAGCGGGACACCGGAAAUUACAAAAAAAUAUGAAUUGCUUUCGUACGUAGUGUAAGCGG
Molecule: long non-coding RNA, 336 nt
Filed under: Mytilus galloprovincialis (Mediterranean mussel)
Lineage: Eukaryota; Metazoa; Mollusca; Bivalvia; Mytilida; Mytilidae
Source: RNAcentral